UGACCUCCUGACGAAUGAGACUAACUUGACUAACUGCUGUCAAGUGCCUUCCCUAGCAUCAGUAAGGAAGGUCUGCAACCUGGGGCCUGUUGCACAAAAGUAGAAUUAAGACAUCCGGGAUAAAUGACUCAGCUGAGCUCAAUGAAGCCAAAACAUGUGCGUCCAGGCUUAAUUGGUUGCACAAAGACCAAGCCAGGAUGAGCAGACACGGAUUCAUUAAGCCAGGUGAAACCAAUCCUGGAUAGGUGCGCGCUCACGGCUCACUCAAAUAGACCCCGCCACAGAUCACAGAUUAACUGAUUUACCAUGGCAACUAGAGCCGCGUACUUUUCCCCGUCGGAAGCACAAAUCCUCAUGGAGGCAUACGAGGAGGUAAAAGAUAUAAUUAAGAAGAAAGGCAACACCGCCACAGUGAUAAAGCAAAGAGAAAAAGCGUGGCAAAGUAUUGCAGACCGCCUGAAUGCAUUAAACAUGAACGGGCCAAAACGGACAUGGCAGCAGGUCAAAAUCAAAUACAAGAACAUUCUGCAGAAUGGUAUGGUCCCUGACUAAUAUUUAACAAAGCACAAGCAUAUAUUGUACCCAGAAGGUGCCUGCUCACACAUUGUCUGUACUGUUUUAGCAGUGAAAAGAAUACCCACAGACAAGGCACGGGUGGUGGGUCACCAAAGGCUGACCUUACCCCAGCAGAGGACAUGGCCUUGGAGCUAAAUAAAGGCAGGCCCGUCUUAGAGGGGAUCCCUGGGGGAAAGAGACGAGCAUAGGUUCCUCCCAAGAUGCCACCCGCUUCAUUCAAGUGCCUGGCAGCACUGUGUUCCUGUUAGAGCCACCAGCACAAGCACCAGACGAUGCUGAUCCAGGUGAAGGCCCCAGUGCAGCAGCAACAGCACAUGAUGGAGACGAUGAUGAGGAGGAGACCAUCUCUCUGGAUUCCAGAAGGCAUGAGGACCCAGAUGCUAUACAGUGGGAAAACCAGCCUGGCAACAGUGCGUAUUAAUAAAAGGACACCACAUCCUGCCAAAUUCCAGCUGCGCUAAUUGUAUUGUGUUCACAGAGCUCACAAGCUAUCAGAAAGUUGUAUGGCAACCACCUCCGGCACCAAAUAGAACUGGCAGACAUAGACAUUCAGUACAAGAAGAAAAAGAUGGAAAAUCUUGCACUGGAGUCCGAAAUAAAAAAGAGGACAAUUAGGAAACUGGACCUUGAAAUAAAAAAACUUGAGAGGGAGCUCCAAGAAGAUGACACAGCUCAAAAUAAAAAUUAGGUAUAUUCUCGUAAAGUCAAGUGAGCCAUGACAUAUGAGCUCUUAUUGUGAGCACACAGGACGGUGGCAUCUUUCUAAGUUUUUUUUUAUUUUCCCAGCAAUCAGUACAACCAAGUCAUCGUUAUAAGGCAUCGCCCUCUUUUGCCCACCCCCCCAGCACCAGGUGUGGCCACUAGCCUAUAUGAAGGCCCAAAAUUGUGUGUUCCUUUCUGCUCUGACAAUGGCAUGCCCAUUCGUGCGAGAUGUGGUGGAUGAAGAAGCACUUGUGCUGAGGAGAGCCUUCAGGCGAGAAAGGGUCUUCAGGGACCGGUUGGACCCACUGGCCUUCCCUGAUGACCAUCUAUAUGAAAGAUACAGGUUUUCUGCAGAUGGCAUCAGGUAUCUAUGCAGACUACUGGGUCCCAGGAUUAAGCACCGCACUGCACGGAGCCAUGCACUGAGUGUGGAGCAAAUGGUUUGUGUGGCCUUGCGCUUUUUUGCUAGUGGAGCCUUCCUGUACUCAGUGGGGGAUGCAGAACAGCUGAACAAGGCCACAAUUUGCCGCACAAUAAGGAGUGUGUGUCUGGCUAUCAAAGCAUUAGCAGAUGUCUUCAUCUCCUUCCCUGGCCACAGAAGACUCUGUGACAUCAAAGAGGAGUUCUAUAGGAUUGCAGAUGGUCUGCAAUGCUGACUGUGUGAUCAGCAAUGUUGUGGCAAAAUGGCCUGGCUCAGUCCAUGACUCCAGAAUCUUUCGGGCCUCUGAAAUCUA
This is a long non-coding RNA of Oncorhynchus nerka (sockeye salmon), 2012 nucleotides long. RefSeq lists it as uncharacterized. The transcript is spliced from 7 exons. The record is from RefSeq and is a predicted model, not a curated record. Lineage: Eukaryota; Metazoa; Chordata; Actinopteri; Salmoniformes; Salmonidae.